CCUACGGGAGGCAGCAGUAGGGAAUAUUGGUCAAUGGGUGCGAGCCUGAACCAGCCAUGCCGCGUGCAGGAAGAAGGCCUUCUGGGUUGUAAACUGCUUUUGCCAGGGGAUAAAAAGUCUCUGCGGAGAAAAUUGAAGGUACCUGGUGAAUAAGCCACGGCUAACUACGUGCCAGCAGCCGCGGUAAUACGUAGGUGGCAAGCGUUGUCCGGAUUUAUUGGGUUUAAAGGGUGCGUAGGCGGCCUAUUAAGUCAGUGGUGAAAUAUCUCAGCUUAACUGAGAAGGUGCCAAUGAUACUGAUGGGCUUGAGUACAGAUGAGGUAGGCGGAAUUGACGGUGUAGCGGUGAAAUGCUUAGAUAUCGUCAAAAGCACCUAUAGCGAAGGCAGCUUACUAGGCUGUAACUGACGCUGAGGCACGAAAGUGUGGGGAUCAAACAGGAUUAGAUACCCUGGUAGUCCACACUGUAAACGUUGAUUACUCGCUGUGUGCGAUAUACAGUACGCGGCCAAGCGAAAGCGCUAAGUAAUCCACCUGGGGAGUACGCCGGCAACGGUGAAACUCAAAGGAAUUGACGGA
Molecule: ribosomal RNA, 578 nt
Filed under: uncultured bacterium
Lineage: Bacteria
Description: bacterial SSU rRNA
Rfam family: Bacterial small subunit ribosomal RNA
Source: RNAcentral